GUGGGGAAUAUUGGACAAUGGGCGCAAGCCUGAUCCAGCCAUGCCGCGUGAGUGAUGAAGGGCCUUAGGGUUGUAAAGCUCUUUCGCCGGUGAAGAUAAUGACGGUAACCGGAGAAGAAGCCCCGGCUAACUUCGUGCCAGCAGCCGCGGUAAUACGAAGGGGGCUAGCGUUGCUCGGAAUCACUGGGCGUAAAGCGCACGUAGGCGGAUCGUUAAGUCAGGGGUGAAAUCCUGGAGCUCAACUCCAGAACUGCCCUUGAUACUGGCGAUCUCGAGUUCGAGAGAGGUUGGUGGAACUCCGAGUGUAGAGGUGAAAUUCGUAGAUAUUCGGAAGAACACCAGUGGCGAAGGCGGCCAACUGGCUCGAUACUGACGCUGAGGUGCGAAAGCGUGGGGAGCAAAACAGGAUUAGAUACCCUGGUAGUCCACGCCGUAAAACGAUGGAUGCUAGCCGUUGGGGGGUUUUGACCUCUCAGUGGCGCAGCUAACGCCUUAAAGCAUCCCGCCUGGGGGAGUACGGUCGCAAGAUUAAAAACUCAAAAGGAAUCGACGGGGGUCAUAGCUGUUUUCCU
This 572-nucleotide ribosomal RNA is filed under the name uncultured bacterium. Its description in RNAcentral is "partial 16S ribosomal RNA". It matches the Rfam family "Bacterial small subunit ribosomal RNA", at positions 354 to 939 of the family's 1533-position model. The record is from RNAcentral.